GCCACAUGGACGCGGGCUUCAUCUCCUCCACUGCUCCAUCCAAUGUCUAAAAAAUGUCUAUCUAGUUUAGCUCGGCGAGGCAAUGGCAACGCAGCGUCCGCUAUCCAGUGGCCUCCACGACGCGCUCGCUCUCACCACAGCUCCUCCUCCACCACGCCUGGCCAUGCUCGCUCCGCCCAACUCGCAGAUGCUCACCUCCUCGCUCCCGCCUCCCACCCUCCCGGCCCCAGGCUCCAAGCCUGCCACCAAGCCCAAACCCGCCGCGGCCGCCUCCGUCUCCGCCGCGGCCACGGCCCCCCUCGACGCAGGCGGGAGCGGCCGCCUGUCCGCGCUCAUCCGCUCCCUCUGCGCCGCCGGCCGCACCGCCGACGCCGCGCGCGCGCUGGACACGGCCGGCGACGCGGCCGGCAUCGUCGCCUACAACGCCAUGGUCGCCGGGUACUGCCGCGCCGGCCAGGUCGCCGCCGCGCGCCGCCUCGCGGCCGCCGUCCCGGUCCCGCCCAACGCCUACACCUACUUCCCCAUCGUGCGCGGCCUCUGCGCGCGGGGACUGAUCACCGACGCCCUCACGGUGCUCGACGAAAUGUCCCUCAGGGGCUGCGCGGCCACCCCGCCCAUGUCCCACGUCAUCCUGGAGGCCGCGUGCAGGGGCGGCGGGUUCAGGAGCGCCGUGAGGGCUCUCGAGGCGCUGCAUGCCAGGGGCUGCACGCUGGACUCCGGCAACUGCAACCUGGUCGUCAGCGCCAUCUGCGAGCAAGGGUGCGUGGACGAGGGAGUGGAGCUGCUGAGGAAGCUGCCCUCCUUUGGCUGCGAGCCGGACAUUGUUAGCUAUAACGCGGUGCUCAAGGGCCUGUGUAUGGCCAAGAGAUGGGAGGACGUGGAGGAGCUCAUGCACGAGAUGGUUAGGGUGGAUUGCCCGCCCAAUGUCGCCACUUUCAAUACCCUCAUUGCUUAUUUGUGCAGGAACGGGUUGUAUGAGCAGGUGCAUGAGGCCCUUUCGCAGAUGUCACAGCAUGGGUGCACACCGGACUUAAGGAUGUACGCGACCAUCAUCGACGGGAUUUGCAAGGACGGGCAUCACGAGGUUGCAAACGAUAUUUUGAGCAGGAUGCCUUCUUAUGGUCUCAAGCCCAAUGUUGUCUGCUACAACACUGUCUUGAAGGGUCUAUGCAGUGCUGAGCGGUGGGAGGAAGCUGAGGACUUGCUUGCUGAGAUGUUUCAGAAGGAUUGCCCCCUUGAUGACGUGACAUUCAAUAUACUCGUCGAUUUCUUCUGCCAAAAUGGGUUGGUCGACAGGGCAAUUGAACUUCUUGAGCAGAUGUUGGAGUACGGUUGCAUGCCGGAUGUCAUCACAUACACUACGGUAAUCAAUGGCUUUUGCAAAGAAGGGCUUGUUGACGAAGCUGUCAUGCUUUUAAAAAGUAUGUCAACCUGUGGAUGCAAGCCGAAUACCAUAAGCUAUACUAUUGUGUUGAAAGGUUUGUGCAGAGCCGAGCGGUGGGUAGAUGCCGAGGAGCUCAUCUCGCAUAUGAUUCAACAAGGCUGUCUUCCGAAUCCUGUUACAUUCAACACGCUCAUCAAUUUUCUGUGCAAAAAGGGAUUGGUGGAGCAGGCAAUUGAACUUCUUAAGCAGAUGUUAGUGAAUGGGUGCAGUCCUGACCUUAUUAGCUACAGCACAGUGAUUGAUGGACUUGGUAAAGCUGGUAAGACGGAGGAAGCAUUGGAGCUGCUAAAUGUUAUGAUCAGCAAAGGGAUCACCCCAAAUGCGGUAAUUUAUUCAUCAAUGGCAUCUGCUCUGUCUAGAGAAGGUAGAACCGACAAGGUUAUUCAGAUGUUUGACAGGAUCCAAGAUGCCACAGUGAGGUCUGAUGCAGUGCUUUACAAUGCUGUCAUUUCUUCGCUUUGCAAAAGAUGGGAAACUGAUCGUGCCAUUGAUUUUUUUGCCUACAUGGUGUCAAGUGGGUGCAUGCCCAACGAAUCAACCUACACUAUACUUAUUAGAGGUUUAGCUAGUGAAGGAUUGGUAAGGGAGGCACAAGAUUUGUUGAGUGAACUGUGCUCAAGAAGAGCUGUAAGAAAGCACUUGGUGAGACAUUUUGGUAUUGUUUGAACCAACAGCCCUUACCGCCAGAUGUUGUUGGAAGGAGGAGAUUAUUGUGGUGGCGUUGGCAGGAUGGAUUUGCCUACUUGAAGCUUCAGCAGCUCAUGAAGAUUGUUUAAUUUCAGCCUCCUUUCGGCGCAUUAACAUCUACGGGGCAACAUAAACCCUUCAUGGGAGCUCAGUUGUAAUCUCUACCGGUUCAUAAAUUUGCCUUGCUGAUAGAUUUAGGAGAACAUUGUGGAAGGGACACUGUAAAGUUAUUACGUUGAGUUGGUUGUAACC
Triticum aestivum (bread wheat) is the source of this 2383-nucleotide RNA transcript. It is a transcript of the gene named pentatricopeptide repeat-containing protein At1g09900, with no coding region annotated. The transcript is spliced from 2 exons. NCBI's taxonomy places the organism in Eukaryota, Viridiplantae, Streptophyta, Magnoliopsida, Poales, Poaceae. The record is from RefSeq and is a predicted model, not a curated record.